CUAUACAUGCAAGUCGAGCGAACAGAAAAGGAGCUUGCUCCUUUGACGUUAGCGGCGGACGGGUGAGUAACACGUGGGCAACCUACCCUAUAGUUUGGGAUAACUCCGGGAAACCGGGGCUAAUACCGAAUAAUCUCUUUUGCUUCAUGGUGAAAGACUGAAAGACGGUUUCGGCUGUCGCUAUAGGAUGGGCCCGCGGCGCAUUAGCUAGUUGGUGAGGUAACGGCUCACCAAGGCGACGAUGCGUAGCCGACCUGAGAGGGUGAUCGGCCACACUGGGACUGAGACACGGCCCAGACUCCUACGGGAGGCAGCAGUAGGGAAUCUUCCACAAUGGGCGAAAGCCUGAUGGAGCAACGCCGCGUGAGUGAAGAAGGUUUUCGGAUCGUAAAACUCUGUUGUAAGGGAAGAACAAGUACAGUAGUAACUGGCUGUACCUUGACGGUACCUUAUUAGAAAGCCACGGCUAACUACGUGCCAGCAGCCGCGGUAAUACGUAGGUGGCAAGCGUUGUCCGGAAUUAUUGGGCGUAAAGCGCGCGCAGGCGGUCCUUUAAGUCUGAUGUGAAAGCCCACGGCUCAACCGUGGAGGGUCAUUGGAAACUGGGGGACUUGAGUGCAGAAGAGGAAAGUGGAAUUCCAAGUGUAGCGGUGAAAUGCGUAGAGAUUUGGAGGAACACCAGUGGCGAAGGCGACUUUCUGGUCUGUAACUGACGCUGAGGCGCGAAAGCGUGGGGAGCAAACAGGAUUAGA
This 752-nucleotide ribosomal RNA is filed under the name Lysinibacillus fusiformis. RNAcentral's name for it is "bacterial SSU rRNA". It matches the Rfam family "Bacterial small subunit ribosomal RNA", at positions 49 to 782 of the family's 1533-position model. Lineage: Bacteria; Bacillati; Bacillota; Bacilli; Caryophanales; Bacillaceae. The record is from RNAcentral.